Molecule: ribosomal RNA, 253 nt
Filed under: uncultured bacterium
Lineage: Bacteria
Description: partial 16S ribosomal RNA
Rfam family: Bacterial small subunit ribosomal RNA
Source: RNAcentral
UACGUAGGGGGCGAGCGUUGUCCGGAUUUAUUGGGCGUAAAGAGCGUGUAGGCGGCCAGGUAGGUCUGCUGUGAAAACUCGAGGCUCAACCUCGAGACGUCGGCGGAAACCAUCUGGCUAGAGUCCGGAAGAGGAGAGUGGAAUUCCUGGUGUAGCGGUGAAAUGCGCAGAUAUCAGGAAGAACACCAGUGGCGAAGGCGGCCCGCUGGGCAGUGGCUGACGCUGAGGCGCGACAGCGUGGGGAGCAAACGGG